AAUAACAGGGCGUUUUGCUCAAUACAGUCACAAAAGUGGAACCUUAAAACACAAAAAUGAUAAAAAGAAACCUUCGUUCAAAUACCUCAACGAUAGAAAACCCCGUCCCGGUUCUUGUCAUUCGCUGCUUCUACAUACAGCUUUGCACUCUCUCCCUCGAUCUCUCCCUGUGACAGCGACGUAUAGAAGAAAGCUCAUCACACCCCACCGUUAAUUGCCUAGACUCAAAACCCUCAAACAAAAAAACAGAAAGGGUCAAAUCUCUACUUAUUAUCCCCUUCACCAACGUUCGCCUACGCCGCAAUCCGCGGGACCUAUCCUCUGAUCCGGAAGCCAUUGAAGGACCCAGAAAGGGAAAGUGCAAGAAAAAAAAAGGGAGCAAACCAAAAGCGCAGCACAUCGCCGGCUCUUCUGUUUUAGAAUCAGAAUUGAAAUUGAAGGCCUUUGUGGUGUCAUGAUCACAUGCUCCCGGGCCUACCAUAAGCAACAACAUGAUGAACUCCGCCAACGGCAUGAUGUCAGCGUCGUCUUCAUCGGCCACAACACAAUCGCCUGCCCUUAAGACCUAUUUUAAAACCCCCGAAGGUCGGUACAAGCUCCACUACGAGAAGACCCACCCCUCCGGUCUCCUUCAUUACGCCCAUGGAAAAACCGUCACUCAGGUAACUCUAGCACACCUAAAGGACAAGCAGGCCCCAUCAACUCCACCAGCCCCUCCUUCAAGCUUCAGUGCUACCAGUGGAGUGCGAUCAGCUGCAGCAAGGUUGUUGGGUGGAAGUAAUGGGAGCCGUGCCCUUAGCUUUGUUGGAGGGAAUGGUGGCAGUAAGAGUAUUAGUGGGAAUGGUAGGGUUGGGUCUUUGGGGUCUUCAAGUUCGAGUAAUUCAAUGGCUACUACGAAUUUUGAUGGGAAGGGGACAUACUUGGUCUUCAAUGUGGGGGAUGCUAUCUUUAUAAGUGAUUUGAAUUCUCAAGACAAGGAUCCGAUAAAGUCUAUUCAUUUCAGUAAUUCAAAUCCCGUGUGCCAUGCAUUUGAUCAGGACGCGAGGGAUGGGCAUGAUUUGCUUAUUGGGUUAAAUUCUGGCGAUGUGUACUCUGUGUCACUGAGACAGCAAUUACAGGAUGUUGGAAAGAAGCUUGUUGGGGCUCAGCAUUAUAACAAAGAUGGUUCUGUUAAUAACAGUCGUUGCACUAGUGUUGCAUGGGUACCUGGAGGGGAUGGUUCUUUUGUUGUUGCUCAUGCUGAUGGGAAUUUGUACGUGUAUGAAAAGAGCAAAGAUGGUGCAGGUGAUUCUUCAUUCCCUGUUGUUAGAGAUCAGAUGCAAUUUUCUGUUGCACAUGCUCGUUACAGUAAGAGUAACCCGGUUGCCAGAUGGCAUAUAUGCCAAGGUUCAAUUAAUAGCAUUGCUUUCUCAACUGAUGGUGCCUAUCUGGCAACUGUGGGAAGAGAUGGUUAUCUACGAAUUUUUGAUUACUCAAAAGAACACCUCGUAUGUGGUGGCAAAAGUUAUUAUGGUGCUCUAUUAUGUUGUGCUUGGAGCAUGGAUGGAAAAUAUAUUCUUACGGGAGGCGAAGAUGAUUUAGUUCAAGUUUGGAGCAUGGAAGAUCGGAAAGUUGUAGCAUGGGGCGAGGGGCAUAAUUCGUGGGUCAGUGGAGUGGCUUUUGAUUCAUAUUGGUCGUCUCCAAAUUCAGAAGGCACAGGGGAAACUAUCAUGUACCGGUUUGGUUCUGUUGGUCAGCUUGGUAUGUGUGGCCAGGACACGCAAUUGCUUCUGUGGGAUCUGGAAAUGGAUGAGAUUGUAGUGCCCUUGCGGCGAUGCCCACCUGGCGGGUCCCCUACAUACAGUACUGGAAGCCAGUCAUCCCAUUGGGACAAUGCUUCCCCAGUGGGCACUCUGCAACCUGCUCCAAGCAUGCGAGAUGUUCCAAAGAUCUCCUCGCUUGUUGCUCAUCGUGUUCACAAUGAACCUCUCUCUGGCUUGAUAUUUACCCAGGAAUCUGUUCUUACCGUGUCUCGAGAAGGGCACAUAAAGAUCUGGAUGAGACCAGGGGUGGGAGAAAGCCAGUCAAACAACCCUGAAACCGCCUUGAGUACCAGCAUGAAGGAGAAACCUUUAUUCGCAAACAAGAUUGUCAGUUCCAGUUACAAGCUAUGACCAAACUUUCAUCAGAAGGAAAAACCAAGUUAUUUUUUCUCUUUUCAUAGGGCCAUCGCCUUUUCAUCCAGUUGGUUUUGGUAUGUAAACAAUACAUGACUGGACUGAGAAUAACCAACUGGUUCUAUUGUAUAUUCAGGUAUAAAGAUGAUGACCCCCAAAUGGCACGAAAGAGGUUUGGAGAGACACGAGCCACUUUGAGGCGUGGAGCUUAUGCAGAGAUGUAAAUUGUCCGGCAGGAAGCCAUUAAUAUACUCCUACUCCUUUGGUAUUAAGUUAUAUGUUUCGUAUAGACAUCGAGAUGUGGGAUCCCAGAUCUAACCACAAAAAAAUGCCGACUCUUGUACAUAUUUAUGGUGUUGCUGGCCUUAUAAUAUAUCAAAGUUUACAAACAA
Carya illinoinensis is the source of this 2548-nucleotide RNA transcript. It is a transcript of the gene named probable catabolite repression protein creC, with no coding region annotated. Lineage: Eukaryota; Viridiplantae; Streptophyta; Magnoliopsida; Fagales; Juglandaceae. The record is from RefSeq and is a predicted model, not a curated record. The transcript is spliced from 12 exons.